Molecule: ribosomal RNA, 106 nt
Filed under: Salinivibrio sp. AR640
Lineage: Bacteria; Pseudomonadati; Pseudomonadota; Gammaproteobacteria; Vibrionales; Vibrionaceae
Description: partial 16S ribosomal RNA
Source: RNAcentral
ACUUUAAUUGAAGAGUUUGAUCAUGGCUCAGAUUGAACGCUGGCGGCAGGCCUAACACAUGCAAGUCGAGCGGAAACGGCAGUAUUGAAGCUUCGGUGGAUUUACU